CACGUAGGGCGCAAGCGUUGUCCGGAAUUAUUGGGCGUAAAGAGCUCGUAGGCGGUCUGUUGCGUCCGCUGUGAAAACUCGGGGCUUAACCCCGAGCCUGCAGUGGAUACGGGCAGACUAGAGGUAGGUAGGGGAGAAUGGAAUUCCCGGUGUAGCGGUGAAAUGCGCAGAUAUCGGGAGGAACACCGGUGGCGAAGGCGGUUCUCUGGGCAUGUCCUGACGCUGAGGAGCGAAAGUGUGGGGAGCGAACAGG
RNAcentral lists this ribosomal RNA (253 nucleotides) under uncultured bacterium. RNAcentral describes it as "partial 16S ribosomal RNA". It matches the Rfam family "Bacterial small subunit ribosomal RNA", at positions 524 to 776 of the family's 1533-position model. The record is from RNAcentral.